AACGAACGCUGGCGGCAUGCCUAACACAUGCAAGUCGAACGAAGCCUUCGGGCUUAGUGGCGCACGGGUGCGUAACACGUGGGAAUCUGCCCUUCGGUUCGGAAUAACAGUUAGAAAUGACUGCUAAUACCGGAUGAUGACGAAAGUCCAAAGAUUUAUCGCCGAAGGAUGAGCCCGCGUAGGAUUAGGUAGUUGGUAGGGUAAUGGCCUACCAAGCCGACGAUCCUUAGCUGGUCUGAGAGGAUGAUCAGCCACACUGGGACCUGAGACACGGCCCAGACUCCUACGGGAGGGCAGCAGUGGGGAAGUAUUGGACAAUGGGCGAAAGCCUGAUCCAGCAAUGCCGCGUGAGUGAUGAAGGCCUUAGGGUUGUAAAGCUCUUUUACCUAGGGAUGAUAAUGACAGUACCUGGAGAAUAAGACUCCGGCUAACUCCGUGCCAGCAGCCGCGGU
This 452-nucleotide ribosomal RNA is filed under the name uncultured bacterium. RNAcentral describes it as "bacterial SSU rRNA". It matches the Rfam family "Bacterial small subunit ribosomal RNA", at positions 29 to 521 of the family's 1533-position model. The record is from RNAcentral.